This 1561-nucleotide long non-coding RNA is filed under the name Nicotiana tabacum (common tobacco). RNAcentral's name for it is "long non-coding RNA (NTAB_LNC013109)". The record is from RNAcentral. Lineage: Eukaryota; Viridiplantae; Streptophyta; Magnoliopsida; Solanales; Solanaceae.
AUUCCAGAAUAAGUAAAUCAAAACUUGCCGAGAACACAUUGACAUAAUCUGAUAAACUGAUUAAAAGACUGUUUCACCAGCAGCAUUGCAUCAUCUAAAGAAUGAAUCAAUUGGCAGGUAUGGAAUAAAGAGAAAAUGUCGCAUUUCACUGCUAUUGUCGCAUCAACAUAAAAACCACAAGUGCUAGUAUGGAUGUAGUGACAGCAAACGAAGAUAUCCUCCUAGAUGAGCUGCUUGUUGGGAGUAUCUUUGGCAAUGAGCACUCUUCUCCAUUAAAGAAUAUCUUUGUUGGGAAUCCAUCACCGCCAGGAAUGUUGAUUCCAGGGAUAUUCUUCUUUGUGAAUGAGAUUACUGAUUGUUGUUUCCCAGGUACUCGGGGAUCUUUCUCUGGAUUAGCUCCAUCUGUUUCUGCUACUAGAUAGUUCAAGCCCUCCAGGCCUUGCAUGAACAAGGUAUUGUUAACGCCGUCUAAUAUAGUUCCGUUGAAGGAAUACACCGCAUCAAAACCAGGGGCUGCUUUAUCCAAUUGCACCGCGGUGAACCAAUCAGCAAAAGAAGUAUCAUCCCAGUUAAAGAGGGUGAUCCUGGCAGACCAUCCACCCCUAUAGUCUGUGAAUAAAUGCCAGUUGAUGCUGACACCGCAGUUAUCUCCGCAUGGCAAUGGGUUCGAAACUGGAAGAUGAUUAAUAUCAGCCCAGGCAAGGGACAUCUUGGUUCUAUUCUCAAAUGGGACCAGAAGAGCCUGAGAUGGUAGGAGAAGAGCAGGAGCUUUUGUACUACAUGUACGAGCGGUAUUCGAAGGGCAACCACAGGAGCAUGUUGGACAAGGAAUGAUAGAUUCAUUGUAGAAAGCAGAGAAAGAUACACAGCAUCUAGGGCUUGCUCCUUUUGGUUGAGUGAUGUUGCAUACAACUUGCCAGCUUGCAAAUGCUGCUGUAUCGGGUAGCAAUCCACUCGGAUCAGGAAACUGGCUGGGGCUUACACGGACUGGAGGUCCACAUUUAUAAUCUGGAUUCAGUCUGCCUUCAAUCUUCCAAUUCUGAGGAGGAGUGAACGAGGAGCGAUUGAGAUCCGGAGGCAUUUUAAAGACGUUUAUCUGGAAUGCUGAAGCAGACUUGCUUGGGUCCAUGGCAGGUGGCAAGAUCGUCCCAUUUCGGCAACAGAAAGGUAUCAUCCCCAACUUUGUGUCAUUGGUCUUUUCCAGAGGCAGAUCGAUUAUUGUUGGCCUUCUCUCACAGUUCAAUCCAUUGGAGAAGUCAAGACUCUGAUAAAAAUUUCCCUGUGGCCCGAAAACGCACUCAGAAGUAUCAACAACAGAGGGGUAAGCACCCUUCAUUUCCCAGAUAAACUCAUCCUUCAUCCAGUCCCAACUUAGUUUCCAGUUAUCAAGGCGGCCGAGGGUGUUAUGGUUUGCAAUCUUAACCUGUGCCCAGUAAUUUGAAUCAUAUGUUCUUAGGAUAUCAUACAUAAUUGUAAGGUCCCCAUCUUGUCGUGGACUGAAUUCCUCAUCCAAUGUCAGAUUUGUCUUGAAUUUUGGGUCUUUAUUGCAGCAUACUUGCAU